Molecule: unclassified non-coding RNA, 391 nt
Filed under: soil metagenome
Description: partial contains 5.8S ribosomal RNA, internal transcribed spacer 2, and large subunit ribosomal RNA
Rfam family: 5.8S ribosomal RNA (bases 1-122)
Source: RNAcentral
GAUGAAGAACGUAGCAAAAUGCGAUACUUGGUGUGAAUUGCAGAAUCCCGUGAACCAUCGAGUCUUUGAACGCAAGUUGCGCCCGAAGCCAUUAGGCCGAGGGCACGCCUGCCUGGGCGUCACACGUCGUUGCCCCCCCAUCUACUCCUUCGGGAUUGCGGGGGGCGGAUGAUGGCCUCCUGUGUGCCUCGCCGCGCGGUUGGCAUAAAUGCCAAGUCCUCGGCGACGCACGCCACGACAAUCGGUGGUUGCGAAACCUCGGUUGCCCGUCGUGUGCGGUCGUCGCGCAUCGAGGGCUCGAAAAAAUUGCCGGGUUCCGGCUCGGCUUUCAACGCGACCCCAGGUCAGGCGGGGUUACCCGCUGAAUUUAAGCAUAUCAAUAAGCGGAGGA